Molecule: non-coding RNA, 454 nt
Organism: Paralichthys olivaceus (Japanese flounder)
Lineage: Eukaryota; Metazoa; Chordata; Actinopteri; Pleuronectiformes; Paralichthyidae
Source: RefSeq, a predicted model, not a curated record
GAAAACCAUCAGGCACUUACCACCGGGCCUUCAUUCCAGGACACCGGGCCUUCAUUCCAGGACACCGGGCCGGUAGUUGCGGCGGCCAUCUCUGCUCAGCCCCGCCAUCUGUUCUCCAUGCUGUGGAACACGGCGCUCCCUCUGGCUGCAGGCGUUUGGAAAUGGUGGCAAAAAUUGUCAAUUGGAGUAAAAAAGAUACUCAGUUGUGCUUCAGACGGUGACUGGGACGGUUUUCUGAGACAGGUACAUAAAGCAAGGAGCAUGGUGUCCAAUCCGUCCCGUCUCCAACACACACAGUAGACGACACAACAAACACAACUGGAGAGAUUCAUCUGACCAUCCAACAAGCAGCACAGAGGGAAUGUAAAGAACAUGUAAGAGCAGAGAAGCUACACGGCUGAAAGUCUUUCUGUGUGGAGUUUGCACGUUGUCCCUGAGUUUGUGUGAGCGUGAU